RNAcentral lists this ribosomal RNA (253 nucleotides) under uncultured bacterium. Its description in RNAcentral is "partial 16S ribosomal RNA". It matches the Rfam family "Bacterial small subunit ribosomal RNA", at positions 524 to 776 of the family's 1533-position model. The record is from RNAcentral.
UACGGAGGAUGCAAGCGUUAUCCGGAAUGAUUGGGCGUAAAGCGUCCGCAGGUGGCAAUGUAAGUCUGCUGUUAAAGAGUCUAGCUCAACUAGAUAAAAGCAGUGGAAACUACAUAGCUAGAGUACGUUCGGGGCAGAGGGAAUUCCUGGUGUAGCGGUGAAAUGCGUAGAGAUCAGGAAGAACACCAGUGGCGAAGGCGCUCUGCUAGGCCGUAACUGACACUGAGGGACGAAGGCUAGGGGAGCGAAUGGG